ACGUUCGGGUAAUCGCGGCAAUAUUUGCUGAGGAAAGUCCAUGCUCGCACGAUGCUGAGAUGCUCGUAGUGUUCGUGCCUAGCGAAUUCAUAAGCUAGGGCAGCCGGCGAAGCCGGUUGACGGCCGGGAAAAUACCUAAGUCCGUUGGGAUAUGGUAUGAAUACCUAUAAAAGUGCCACAGUGACGUAGCCUUUUCAGAAAUGGAAAGGGUGGAACGGGUAAACCCCACGAGCGAGAAACCCAAAUUAUGGUAGGGGCAUCUUCCCGGAGGAAUUGAACAAAGGGAAGGACAGAUGUAAAAAUCUGUAGAUAGAUGAUUACCGCCUUUGUACGAGAUCUAUGUCGUUUGUAGUACAGAGGAACAGAACAUGGCUUACAGAA
This 381-nucleotide RNase P RNA is filed under the name Neobacillus paridis. Its description in RNAcentral is "RNase P RNA component class B". It matches the Rfam family "Bacterial RNase P class B". From Rfam's summary of the family: Ribonuclease P (RNase P) is a ubiquitous endoribonuclease, found in archaea, bacteria and eukarya as well as chloroplasts and mitochondria. The record is from RNAcentral. Lineage: Bacteria; Bacillati; Bacillota; Bacilli; Caryophanales; Bacillaceae. RNAcentral also lists the same sequence under 1 other name.